Non-coding RNA from Pimephales promelas (fathead minnow), 155 nucleotides. The record is from RefSeq and is a predicted model, not a curated record. NCBI's taxonomy places the organism in Eukaryota, Metazoa, Chordata, Actinopteri, Cypriniformes, Leuciscidae.
AACUCAUUGACAACCGAGAGUGGACAGAGAAAACUGCGAUUAAAUUUGAAGGAAUACCCAAGCAGGCAGGUGGGAACAACUGUGGAAUCUACAUACUGAUGUACACUCUAUACAUGGCUUUGGGGCUCCGAUUUGAUUUUUCAGAGGUAUGUCAU